GGAGCAGGCGCACCGUCCGGGGAGACGGGGAGAGGUGGCGGGCUGCGGAGGCGCGGAGGCGCUGCCAGGGCCGAUCUGGUUCCCUGGGAAGCAGACUCUGGAUGGAGGUUUACCUACGGAAAAGUUAUUGGGGAUGGGGCAGAGGACAAAGGUGUUUCAGUUUGCAGCACCUACUCUGGAGUUGGAGGCCAGUUCAAAGGUGCAAGGCAACUGAAAGACUGAACUAAGGUCACUGGCCAAAUGUAUUUUGCAACAAGCAUAGAGUGGAAUACUGCGCAGCUGUGCAAAGGAUGAGGACACUCCUUGUGUGCUGAUACAGAGGAAUCUCAAAGACAUAUUGUUCAGUGGAGAAUACAGAAGGGUAUCCGUAAUAUGCUGUGAAUUUAGGCAUAAAGGAGGGGAGCUUUGUGUUGGUAUUCACUCGUAUAUGAAUAAAAACAACCUCCGGAACACUAUACAAGGAGCUAAUGAGAAUGGUCAUUUAUUGGGGGAAAAUGGGAAUUGACUGGAUGAGGGGGACA
Molecule: long non-coding RNA, 521 nt
Organism: Manis javanica (Malayan pangolin)
Lineage: Eukaryota; Metazoa; Chordata; Mammalia; Pholidota; Manidae
Source: RefSeq, a predicted model, not a curated record